This is a long non-coding RNA of Megalobrama amblycephala (Wuchang bream), 681 nucleotides long. RefSeq lists it as uncharacterized. Lineage: Eukaryota; Metazoa; Chordata; Actinopteri; Cypriniformes; Xenocyprididae. The record is from RefSeq and is a predicted model, not a curated record. The transcript is spliced from 2 exons.
AUCAGAAAGAAGAAAGUCAUAUACACCUAGGGCGGCUUGAAGACAGUCAUUGCCUGUGUGUGAUUGUAUGGACUGGCCAUCUGUCCAGAGUGCUGCCUAGGAAACUGGGAUAGGCUCCAGCCCUAUGACUUAGAAGGUCGUAUAAGGAAUACAAAGAGAAUAAUGAUGGGUUAAGCAAUAUAUAACCUUUGUUUAUGACUUAUUAAUUAAAGUUUUUAUAAAGUGUUACCAAAUAAAGUCUCAUUGUAAGAUAUAAAGUUUCAAUUAUGAAAAAUAAAGCAGCAAUUGUGAGAUAGACCCUUGUGGAAAAGAAGUGUAGGCUACAUUUUUGCAUACUUCAUUACUGUGACGACAUCUGCUGUCGGUCUUGGGUAUUGCUGCUUGGUGCCUGUUUCCACAAAUUAGCAGUCUGUUGGAUACACCUGUCAACAGUGCUUCAGGCACUCCUUUAAAAAGCGAUCUCCAGUUGAGCCAGGAGGAACUUUGGGAACUUUGGAACUUUGGCUUUUGGCUUUUGUUUGGUUUUGGACUUUGUUUUGUUUGAUUUGUUUUCUGCAUUUAUGCCUCAGCAUUACAUUACACUGAUGGAUACAGAAACAUUGUGAUUUCCUUUGAUUGAUUUCAUUCUAUUAUUUAAUGUUAUCUUUAUUUAGUAGUAAAUAAACAUUUUCUUGAGCUUAA